AACGAACGCUGGCGGCAUGCCUAACACAUGCAAGUCGAACGAGACCUUCGGGUCUAGUGGCGCACGGGUGCGUAACGCGUGGGAACCUGCCUUUAGGUUCGGAAUAACUCAGAGAAAUUUGAGCUAAUACCGGAUGAUGUCUUCGGACCAAAGAUUUAUCGCCUUUAGAUGGGCCCGCGUUGGAUUAGCUAGUUGGUGGGGUAAAGGCCUACCAAGGCGACGAUCCAUAGCUGGUCUGAGAGGAUGAUCAGCCACACUGGGACUGAGACACGGCCCAGACUCCUACGAGAGGCAGCAGUGGGGAAUAUUGGACAAUGGGCGAAAGCCUGAUCCAGCAAUGCCGCGUGAGUGAUGAAGGCCUUAGGGUUGUAAAGCUCUUUUACCCGAGAUGAUAAUGACAGUAUCGGGAGAAUAAGCUCCGGCUAACUCCGUG
RNAcentral lists this ribosomal RNA (433 nucleotides) under uncultured bacterium. RNAcentral's name for it is "partial 16S ribosomal RNA". It matches the Rfam family "Bacterial small subunit ribosomal RNA", at positions 29 to 507 of the family's 1533-position model. The record is from RNAcentral.